AACACCUUGGAUGCCGCAUCAGACAUCAGUCUACUCCCGCAAUUCAACACAUACGCGUGUGCGAUAUUCUAUUGGAUUUUUCCUAACAUUUCAAGUUCGAUACUACAAUAAUGGCAGACUCAAGUCGCAUCGUGUUCCCUGAUGAGGCUGAGGAGAUCAAGGCUAAAGCCGCUGAAGACAAGACAUCGGGUGGUGACACCAACGACGUUGAAGCACCGCGACCCGAGGUCACAAUGAGGAACGUCGUGGUAGUCCCGCCAAACUGUCCCCCAGGGCAUGAAAUGGGCCCAGACGGCGUGUGCCGCGAAAUUUGGAAAGAAUAAACUCUGAACGCUUUCAGCCGCAAUAACUAAACGUAACGUUCUAUUUUUGACGUUUCAUUGCUUCUGUCAGUGUCGCACAACUGUCAAAUUCUAUGUGUAAGAUAGAGAUGGGACUAAUGAUAUGUUAAGCUUGCAUCGAGAAACGUUUAGUUAUUCUGGUAUUGAUAGAAUAUGAGAUCUUAAACAGUUACUUGUGUUUACCUAUAUAGUGUGUAAGUUAAAAUAAAGUAUUAAUUAAUUUGUAGUUCGCUAAUUAUUGCAGUGUUAUCACAAUUUUUGGCAAAUGCUAGGAAUAUUUGUACUGUAUCUAACA
Trichoplusia ni (cabbage looper) is the source of this 636-nucleotide long non-coding RNA. RefSeq lists it as uncharacterized. The record is from RefSeq and is a predicted model, not a curated record. The transcript has 2 exons. NCBI's taxonomy places the organism in Eukaryota, Metazoa, Arthropoda, Insecta, Lepidoptera, Noctuidae.